RNAcentral lists this long non-coding RNA (1062 nucleotides) under Sus scrofa (pig). RNAcentral describes it as "lncRNA (ENSSSCG00070000823.1)". Lineage: Eukaryota; Metazoa; Chordata; Mammalia; Artiodactyla; Suidae. The record is from RNAcentral.
GCAUGUGUCCUGUCCAUCAGACUCUGAGUUCCUUGAAGGAGGGGGUUGUGUCUCACCAGACCUUAUAUCCCAGGGACCUAGCAAGAUCCCUGGUAUAGAGUGGCAUGCUGACAAAUUCUCCUCGAAUGAACAGAUCCAUGAGAGAGAAAUGGGUUGUGCCUGAUUUAAGGCCUUAGGUCCUUAAUACCCCCUUAUAUUCCUUGUUUAAAGGAGCUCCAUGACAAAGUCAUUCCAUGGAUGUUUCCAGAAUGGGUAUGUGACCACCUCUGGUGCAUACCUCAUUUAAUAUCUGGAAGCAAUCGCUACUGAUGCUUUGAAUAUAGCUACAAAAAGCCAAGUUCAGUGUAAGAGGAUUGCUUCUUAAGCACAGAACCUCUGUCCCUGGUUUCUCUCGGCUUCCUUGUUGUCAGUGGCCGGGUCAGACCUCUCCAUACAGAACCACUCACAGUCUUCAUUUUCCCUAUUAUUAUUUUUCUCUGGCUUCGAAGAAGUACAGCAGUGCUGUUUGGGUGAUUGUUGCUCUGUGAUGCCAAGCUGUUUUAGAAAAAUGUCAUGAUGCCUGGUCACACCUACUACCGCAGAGACAAGCCCAGAAGUUAAAUUAGGAAGCAAACGUAAGCUUUGAAGAACUUUUUAUUUAAUCUGUAUUCCCCUGUUUCAUCUGCACAUCCAUCCAGCACAAUCUGCAUCAUUAUUAGCCACAUCAACUCGCUAAAAAAAGGGGGGGGGUAAAAAGUAAGACAUCUGUGUUAUAGCAUUAAUAUAUUCAAAGGUUUUUACUUUCAUCUUGCAGGCAUUAACAGGGUGUAAAUGCAAUAUAAGCGCAAUUUACAACAGCACUAAGUUAGCAGAAGAAAAAACGUACUUGGGAGUCACGCAAAAGAAGGGAGCCUGCAAAAAGAAAAAAAAAAAAAAGCAAAGUUGAUAAUUCCACUGCCGUCCUUUGCGGGGGUGAUCCUGAGGAUCAAAGGCGAUGCUGUUUGUGAAAGAGCCGGAGACUGCGAGGUUGUUCUGGGUACCGAAGUCGGGGACUGCCAGCCAGCCCGCUGCCUUCAUGAGUAG